GUAGGUGAACCUGCGGAAGGAUCAUUACCGAGCUCACGCCCUCGCGGCGAGACCUCCCACCCUUGCGUAUCCAUACCACGUUGCUUUGGCAGGUUGCUCGCCCCCAGGGGGAGCCUCGGCGCCUUGGGCCCGAGAGUCGCCUGCCGGAGGAAGCCCCAACCCUGAGUUAUUAGUGUCGUCUGAGUACUAUGUCACAAUAGUUAAAACUUUCAACAACGGAUCUCUUGGCUCUG
Molecule: unclassified non-coding RNA, 233 nt
Filed under: rhizosphere metagenome
Description: partial ribosomal RNA internal transcribed spacer region
Source: RNAcentral